GUCGGUGGCCAUUUUGACUUCAGAAACCGGGGACAACAGGUGUCGGUGGCCAUUUUGACUUCAGAAACCGGGGACAACAGGUGUCGGUGGCCAUUUUGACUUCAGAAACCGGGGACAACAGGUGUCGGUGGCCAUUUUUUUAUUUGAGCUGUCAGUAACCAGGGAAGACAGGUGACUUAAACUGUCGGUAACUGCCUGGACCAGACACCACGACAGGCGGCCAUUUUGUUAUGCUGGUUGUUAUAGUAACUCUGUGGUCAGUGGCCACUGUUUUGUGACACUUGGUAGGUUUGUUACAUUCUAAAGGUCAGACACAAUUUUGAGACUUUUUUUUUUUUAAAUGUAAUUUUUUAGGGAAGGAUUAUUACUCUUGGAGGAUCAGUCGAACAUUGGCAGCUUUAAUGUUGUUAUUAUCAUGUUUGUUGAUGCUAGUUAACCGUCUUCAAAGUUGAAUCUUGGAUGAACAUUUCAGGUUUUGAAUCCCAAGAUAAAGAGGGUGUGACUGUGAUGGCGGUACGAUGGCAGACCAACGUCAUGGCGAUAUGAUGGUCAACGUGUCUCUGAGCUUUCUAAAUGGUCGUCAUGGCGUUAUGAUGGUCAACGUGUCUCUGAGCUUUCUAAAUGGUCGUCAUGGCGAUAUGAUGGUCAACGUGUCUCUGAGCUUUCUAAAUGGUCGUCAUGGCGAUAUGAUGGUCAACGUGUCUCUGAGCUUUCUAAAUGGUCGUCAUGGCGAUAUGAUGGUCAACGUGUCUCUGAGCUUUCUAAAUGGUCGUCAUGGCGUUAUGAUGGUCAACGUGUCUCUGAGCUUUCUAAAUGGUCGUCAUGGCGUUAUGAUGGUCAACGUGUCUCUGAGCUUUCUAAAUGGUCGUCAUGGCGAUAUGAUGGUCAACUCUGAUGGAUCUUUCAUGAUUCCCCGCUGUGUGUCUGACGGCACAAGAGUCUGUACCAUAUUGUAUUAUGAGGAGUUGGAGACAGAGGAGUCUGAUCCCAGAUCUGUUUUGGUGUGAAAAUGACCGUAAGAGUUGGCACAAACUGAUCUGGAACCAGGCUAAUGGAUGAGUGCUCAGCUGGUCUGGGCCGUGCUAGAUAAAGAUGUUUGGUCGUUCCACGAAAUCAGUCCCUCUUGGAGAAUGUAACUUGGGAAAAUAAAUCAAAUAAAAGAGCCCAUGUUGAACUUUAAAAACAAACCCGUUUCCCAGUCUGGAGAGAUCUGACUGAUGGACCUUAAUGAUGACACUUUAACACCGUGUGUCUGACUGAUGGACCUUAAUGAUGACACUUUAACACCGUGUGUCUGACUGAUGG
This is a long non-coding RNA of Oncorhynchus tshawytscha (Chinook salmon), 1305 nucleotides long. NCBI's taxonomy places the organism in Eukaryota, Metazoa, Chordata, Actinopteri, Salmoniformes, Salmonidae. The record is from Ensembl.